AGAGUUUUAAAUUACAGUUCAUAAUGCAAAGGAUUGAAUAACUCUUGACAUAACUGGAUACAUCACUCUAUUGUUUUGUUCACAUCAUAUUUCUACUACAGCUCAGCUCCUUAACCAACGCCAUAGUUGUACUCCUUCACCAUCAUUGUUCGACGUGGUCUAUAUCAGUACUUCCCAAUCUGGGGUCUACAUACUUUGAGGGUCCAGUGUUCAGUCUUUUAAAAGAUUGCACUGUGAAAUGUAUUUGCAUUUAUAAUUAUAUUUGUUCAUUUACAUAUACUUUUCAAGCGAGGUAUCAAACCAGGAAAACAAAUUUGUUAGCUGAUAAAAGUAGCUUACACAGCUUUCAGGCUUUUCAAAAUCCAUGGUUAAAGAGAAAGAUAAAAAGGAUCCUUUAAUAGUGAAAAAGUUUGCAGAGUUGCAUUCAAUAACCAACAUCCUAGUUUUCCUCCUUAAGCAGCAUCAUACUUACACUCAUUAUUUUACAUUUUAGGUAACUCCCUUUCUUACAUCAUUGUUAUACUUCUUACUCUACUUUACUUUUUCAUUUCUUAGUACACAUCAAACUAGCCUACAUCAUGGUUAUAUACUCCUUAAUCUACAUCAUAUUUCUUCCACUAAUAUCAUACUCAGAAUCAUAAAUAUACUCCUUAACCAACAUUAAACUACUUGGUCUGAAUCAGUUAUACACCUUAGCCAACAUUUUGCUUACUAUAUUCUGUAACCUCUUUAAUAACACGCUUCAGUCUCUAUCAGUAAUAAUUAACUUCCAUUAUGGUUUAUACUUAGCUUACAUCAUGGUUCUACUUUGACCCUACAUCAAUUAUAGUUAUUUUUUAACCCACAUUGUAAGCAGGUUUUCUUGAUAAAAAUGUCAUUUAAUUAACUAAAUAUCUACCUCAAUUUGUUAAAUUUAACUCAUUAUCUCAGUGCCAGUUGUACCUUUUUAUGUUUAAAAAAAAAAAAAAGGGGGAAAAAAAAGUUUCUUGGGAUAUGACCCUAUCCCUGUCUAUGCCCUCUUUCGGUGUCUUAAUGUUCAGCUUGCAAUUUUGCUGGUCACUGACAAGUAGUGUAGGGCAAUGAAGGUCUACAUUCAGGGAAGCAAUUUCAGAAUGGUACUGUUUGGGGCUCUGGAAGUGAGCGGGUGAGUAACAUAGGAUAAUGGUUGUGUUGGUUUAGAUGAGGAUGAGAUGUAAUAGGAUUAAGUUUGGUGAAGGGACUCGUGGUAGAGGUGACACAUACAAAUAAAGAAUAACCUGUAUCAAUUCCAAUAUCUAUAAUGUAUAAAAUGUAUUCCCUUUUCUCGUGGAUUGGAACACAGGCCAUAAAUUAGAUUGUUUUUAUUUUAAUGGAAUUUUUAUUUAAUCCUUUUAUUAACAAACUUCUGUUGUAAUAAGUUUGUGUUUAAAACAUUAACUACCAUGGAAUUUUAAUGAAAGGUUUUUAGAUCACUUUAACAAGUUCCAUAGAACCAGGGGCAGUUUCAGGCAAGUUAUUAAUCAAAAGGUUUAAGUAGUUUAUUUUCAGUUAUUUAUUAAAAAAGGAUUUUUGUUUCCUCACAUACACAUAAAACCACUAAAGAGAUAAAGCAUAGAUUUUUCACUGAAUGGCUACUUAUAAAGCAUUUAACUGGCAAUACUUAUUCAUUUUAACAUUAGCACUUGCUAUAAAUUUGGUAAUUUAAUUUAUUGGGGUUUCUCAAAACCACAUCUCCUAACACCUGUUUAUGUAAAGAUCUUUUAGUAAUUUUAAAUUUACUUGGUGGUGGUGAUGAUGGUGAGACCCAGUUUCUUUUCUUUAAUUGAUGUCUUUCCCCUAUUUUAGCAAUAUUAAUAUAGUAAAUUUAUAAAUCUUAACAAUUUUCUUGCACUUGUAAUCUUUUUCUACACAUUCUCUUCUCAUUAUAUCAUUAUCACACACACACAAUCACAAACUGGUGUACUGAACCACACAUUCAUAGUUUGUGGCUGGUGUUUUAAACCAUAUUCAUAAUAUUUUAAGAAAUUUUUCUAAUAGCUAUAAAUAUUAGCUUUUCUCUAAGUUUCACAUGGGUUUGAACUAUUGGUUGACAUCUAGUGGAGAUCAAAUUGGCAGUGGUUGUUUAUUUUUAUUAUAACUUUGAAUAUUAAUGAUUCACUUAAAAAUAAAAUCUGUUGAAACAAAAUAUCUUCCUCUCCCUUAAACUUUGUGUAUUACUCAAAGAAUAAUUAGAGAUACACAUGGAUUCACGCCAGGACAGUUUUACCUGUCAUGUUGUUGAUGUUAAAACCAUUAAUCAGUUCAAACUGAAUUGCAAUAAACUAGCAUUUUUAGACUUUCCAUGUGGAGUUUCGUUUGCAAUGAAAUUCUGUUUGGUCAGAUUCUUCACAAAUCAUAGGGUAUCUUAUCAAUCAUCAGUCAUCAUAUAGCAUCUGACUUCAUUCAUUAACAAGGUAUUCAUUUAGGUUUGUUUUGUAGAUAUUUAAAAAAAAAAAAAUUUUUUUUUCUUUUUAAAAGUGGAUCUAGAGCAACCAUUUUGUAUAUGAUGGGACUCUGGAAUGACAAAUACAACUUUUUUUUUACAUCUUUUUUCUUUUUUUGCGUUUUGCUAUCAUUUCUCUCUUUUUUUAAUAUGUUUAUUCAUGUAAAAACUUAAUGGUUCCCAAUCUCUAAGUCUUUCACACCUCAUUCAGUCCCAUCAUACAACAGAAAUAUCAAACCUCCUCCCUAUACAGUGUUAAGG
Molecule: long non-coding RNA, 2722 nt
Organism: Octopus sinensis (East Asian common octopus)
Lineage: Eukaryota; Metazoa; Mollusca; Cephalopoda; Octopoda; Octopodidae
Exons: 2
Source: RefSeq, a predicted model, not a curated record